GCUGAUGUAGCUCAACGGUAGAGCAGCUGAUUUGUAAUCAGCAGGUUGGGGGUUCGAUUCCCUCCAUCAGCUCCA
Molecule: transfer RNA, 75 nt
Filed under: Candidatus Cloacimonadota bacterium
Lineage: Bacteria; Pseudomonadati; Candidatus Cloacimonadota
Also listed under: 1 other name
Description: Candidatus Cloacimonetes bacterium tRNA-Thr
Rfam family: tRNA
About the family: Transfer RNA (tRNA) molecules are approximately 80 nucleotides in length. Their secondary structure includes four short double-helical elements and three loops (D, anti-codon, and T loops). Further hydrogen bonds mediate the characteristic L-shaped molecular structure. tRNAs have two regions of fundamental functional importance: the anti-codon, which is responsible for specific mRNA codon recognition, and the 3' end, to which the tRNAs corresponding amino acid is attached (by aminoacyl-tRNA synthetases). tRNAs cope with the degeneracy of the genetic code in two manners: having more than one tRNA (with a specific anti-codon) for a particular amino acid; and 'wobble' base-pairing, i.e. permitting non-standard base-pairing at the 3rd anti-codon position.
Source: RNAcentral